AGAUGCUUGGAUUGGCCAAAAGUCACUGCAAAUUCAAAUGCUUCAAAGGCAAAUAAAAUGACUAAACAAAGCGAGCAGCCACUGAUCUUCAAAGAUGAACAUCAAAGAAAACACUAGAAGAUUUUGUCCUCCACGCCCCGCCCCCCAGGGGUGGAUGAGGUUGCAUCAGUUCACACUAACAACGGCUUUGUAAACCCAAAUGCUGACAAAGGGGAGCGGAAGAACGAGACAAGAAAGUAAUUAGAAAAAGAUAGAAAAACCAUCUGGCAAACUUUUAUAGAGAAAACACGAGGAAGGCAACGAUCCCACAGAUCCCAGUUUGUAAACUCCGACGAUGCUUUGUGAGCGAGCAACCUACAAAGAGGCUAUGGCAUAAGGGAAGGCGAGCAGAAAGCGUAAUGGUGAGACCCUGAAGUGCGUUCAAAGCAGAAGCCAUUAAAGAUGAGAAGGAGACCACUUAAAAUGGGCAAAAUGUGGCCUGUGAAGAACAUUUAAUGGGAGUAAGGUCUUACGUGUCAACCCAGAAAUGCACGUGUACACAGCAAAAAGUUUCCGUAUUUAUAAAUAUUUAAAACC
This is a long non-coding RNA of Mus musculus (house mouse), 576 nucleotides long. RefSeq annotates it as predicted gene, 21283. NCBI's taxonomy places the organism in Eukaryota, Metazoa, Chordata, Mammalia, Rodentia, Muridae. The record is from RefSeq and is marked predicted. The transcript is spliced from 3 exons.